Molecule: long non-coding RNA, 242 nt
Filed under: Pan troglodytes (chimpanzee)
Lineage: Eukaryota; Metazoa; Chordata; Mammalia; Primates; Hominidae
Description: long non-coding RNA NONPTRT011811
Source: RNAcentral
GGGUUUUUCCAAUAGCAUAUUUGAAAUAUGAUUUAGGUUAGCCAGAUACCAUUUUUACCAAAGCUGUAGCAAACAUUCGCAAUUUAUGGAACCCAACUUCACUUCUAGCCCUGGCCCAGCAGGCUGGGCACCAGGAUUCCGCCUUCCAUGAGCAAUGAGGGCUAGGGUGGCCUGCCAGAGAGGAGUAAGUUCUAUGGUGAAGGAAGUCACAAAGUAAAUGCUAGAGAGGCUAACAAAAGUUG